RNA transcript from Arachis duranensis, 808 nucleotides. RefSeq lists it as uncharacterized. The record is from RefSeq and is a predicted model, not a curated record. The transcript has 7 exons. Lineage: Eukaryota; Viridiplantae; Streptophyta; Magnoliopsida; Fabales; Fabaceae.
UUGAUUUAAACCCAACUCUCCUUCCAUCCUCUCGAGCUCCACACUCCAAAAGAAAGCUUCACAGUCAUCUUCACAGUCAUCUUCCUCUCCAUUCACACUCCAAACCUUUCUCCUCAGCGCCUUCAUCCACCGCAUUCUUCCAUCAUUAACACCUUUGAGACUUCCAUCACUCUCGUCGUCAAUCAUCGCUGUUCCCAUGCUGUCCCUUCCCUUCCCCUCUUUUACGAGGACAAACCCUAAUCCUCCUUCAGCGAUUUUUUCUUCCCUUCAAACCUAACACCGAUGGUUUUACAAGAAUCACAUUAUCAGGAUGGGCCACAACAAUGCUUAGUUUAUAUACAAAGGUUUAAGUAAAUAUUCUAGGAAGACAUCUAUAUAUUGAUACUGCACGAGAUUUGAAAGCUCUAGCACAAUGGUCCUCUCCUGAAUGGAGUGCAAGUGACAGCACAAAAUCCUGAGAAAGGUGGAACAUUUGUGACUAAUAGAGAGCGAAUAUGUCAUAUAAAGAUAAGAGAGAUUCGUCAGAAAUAUGAUAUGGUGACCUACCUGUUGGAGUAUAUUGACUAUCCUGACCAAAUUUGUUGCAGCCACCCAACCCAUCAAUGCUUUGGCAUUUGUAUUUUUGCAAACUAUAAUCUCUCUCUUUACGUGAGAUGGUUAUUACCACCCUGGGUGAUCUGCAUAGGCUCUAUCCGGGGAUCAUAUUGCAAAAUAAAGUUUUGAGGAUUAAGGAUAAGUCUAUUGAUCAGACUCUAGCCUACUUUUGUGAGGUUUUGAAGUCUAUUGAGGGUGUUUUUCCAGAACCCAG